AGAUUGAACGCUGGCGGAAUGCUUUACACAUGCAAGUCGAGCGGCAGCGCGGGGGCAACCCUGGCGGCGAGCGGCGAACGGGUGAGUAAUACAUCGGAACGUGUCCUGGAGUGGGGGAUAGCUCGGCGAAAGCCGGAUUAAUGCCGCAUAAGCUCUGAGGAGGAAAGCGGGGGAUUCGCAAGGACCUCGCGCUGUUGGAGCGGCCGAUGUCGGAUUAGCUAGUUGGUGGGGUAAAGGCCCACCAAGGCGACGAUCCGUAGCUGGUCUGAGAGGAUGAUCAGCCACACUGGAACUGAGACACGGUCCAGACUCCUACGGGAGGCAGCAGUGGGAAUUUUGGACAAUGGGGGCAACCCUGAUCCAGCCAUUCCGCGUGAGUGAAGAAGGCCUUCGGUGUAAAGCUCUUUCGGACGGAACGAAAUGGUUACGGCUAACACCUGUGACUGAUGACGGUACCGUAAGAAGAAGCACCGCUAACUACGUGCCAGCAGCCGACGUAACG
RNAcentral lists this ribosomal RNA (502 nucleotides) under uncultured soil bacterium. RNAcentral's name for it is "bacterial SSU rRNA". It matches the Rfam family "Bacterial small subunit ribosomal RNA", at positions 26 to 525 of the family's 1533-position model. The record is from RNAcentral.